Molecule: ribosomal RNA, 2902 nt
Filed under: Klebsiella pneumoniae
Lineage: Bacteria; Pseudomonadati; Pseudomonadota; Gammaproteobacteria; Enterobacterales; Enterobacteriaceae
Also listed under: 5 other names
Description: 23S ribosomal RNA
Rfam family: Bacterial large subunit ribosomal RNA
Source: RNAcentral
GGUUAAGCGACUAAGCGUACACGGUGGAUGCCCUGGCAGUCAGAGGCGAUGAAGGACGUGCUAAUCUGCGAAAAGCGUCGGUAAGGUGAUAUGAACCGUUAUAACCGGCGAUGUCCGAAUGGGGAAACCCAGUGCAAUUCGUUGCACUAUCGUUAACUGAAUACAUAGGUUAACGAGGCGAACCGGGGGAACUGAAACAUCUAAGUACCCCGAGGAAAAGAAAUCAACCGAGAUUCCCCCAGUAGCGGCGAGCGAACGGGGAGCAGCCCAGAGUCUGAAUCAGCUUGUGUGUUAGUGGAACGGUCUGGAAAGUCCGACGGUACAGGGUGAUAGUCCCGUACACCAAAAUGCACAGGCUGUGAACUCGAAGAGUAGGGCGGGACACGUGGUAUCCUGUCUGAAUAUGGGGGGACCAUCCUCCAAGGCUAAAUACUCCUGACUGACCGAUAGUGAACCAGUACCGUGAGGGAAAGGCGAAAAGAACCCCGGCGAGGGGAGUGAAAAAGAACCUGAAACCGUGUACGUACAAGCAGUGGGAGCACCUUCGGGUGUGACUGCGUACCUUUUGUAUAAUGGGUCAGCGACUUAUAUUCUGUAGCAAGGUUAACCGUAUAGGGGAGCCGCAGGGAAACCGAGUCUUAACUGGGCGUUAAGUUGCAGGGUAUAGACCCGAAACCCGGUGAUCUAGCCAUGGGCAGGUUGAAGGUUGGGUAACACUAACUGGAGGACCGAACCGACUAAUGUUGAAAAAUUAGCGGAUGACUUGUGGCUGGGGGUGAAAGGCCAAUCAAACCGGGAGAUAGCUGGUUCUCCCCGAAAGCUAUUUAGGUAGCGCCUCGUGAAUUCAUCUUCGGGGGUAGAGCACUGUUUCGGCUAGGGGGUCAUCCCGACUUACCAACCCGAUGCAAACUACGAAUACCGAAGAAUGUUAUCACGGGAGACACACGGCGGGUGCUAACGUCCGUCGUGAAGAGGGAAACAACCCAGACCGCCAGCUAAGGUCCCAAAGUCAUGGUUAAGUGGGAAACGAUGUGGGAAGGCACAGACAGCCAGGAUGUUGGCUUAGAAGCAGCCAUCAUUUAAAGAAAGCGUAAUAGCUCACUGGUCGAGUCGGCCUGCGCGGAAGAUGUAACGGGGCUAAACCAUGCACCGAAGCUGCGGCAGCGACACUAUGUGUUGUUGGGUAGGGGAGCGUUCUGUAAGCCUGCGAAGGUGUGCUGUGAGGCAUGCUGGAGGUAUCAGAAGUGCGAAUGCUGACAUAAGUAACGAUAAAGCGGGUGAAAAGCCCGCUCGCCGGAAGACCAAGGGUUCCUGUCCAACGUUAAUCGGGGCAGGGUGAGUCGACCCCUAAGGCGAGGCCGAAAGGCGUAGUCGAUGGGAAACAGGUUAAUAUUCCUGUACUUGGUGUUACUGCGAAGGGGGGACGGAGAAGGCUAUGUUAGCCGGGCGACGGUUGUCCCGGUUUAAGCAUGUAGGCUGGUUAUCCAGGCAAAUCCGGAUAAUCAAGGCUGAGGUGUGAUGACGAGGCACUACGGUGCUGAAGUAACAAAUGCCCUGCUUCCAGGAAAAGCCUCUAAGCAUCAGGUAACAUCAAAUCGUACCCCAAACCGACACAGGUGGUCAGGUAGAGAAUACCAAGGCGCUUGAGAGAACUCGGGUGAAGGAACUAGGCAAAAUGGUGCCGUAACUUCGGGAGAAGGCACGCUGGUGUGUAGGUGAAGUCCCUGCGGAUGGAGCUGAGACCAGUCGAAGAUACCAGCUGGCUGCAACUGUUUAUUAAAAACACAGCACUGUGCAAACACGAAAGUGGACGUAUACGGUGUGACGCCUGCCCGGUGCCGGAAGGUUAAUUGAUGGGGUUAUCCGUAAGGAGAAGCUCUUGAUCGAAGCCCCGGUAAACGGCGGCCGUAACUAUAACGGUCCUAAGGUAGCGAAAUUCCUUGUCGGGUAAGUUCCGACCUGCACGAAUGGCGUAAUGAUGGCCAGGCUGUCUCCACCCGAGACUCAGUGAAAUUGAACUCGCUGUGAAGAUGCAGUGUACCCGCGGCAAGACGGAAAGACCCCGUGAACCUUUACUAUAGCUUGACACUGAACAUUGAGCCUUGAUGUGUAGGAUAGGUGGGAGGCUUUGAAGCGUGGACGCCAGUCUGCGUGGAGCCAACCUUGAAAUACCACCCUUUAAUGUUUGAUGUUCUAACGUUGGCCCCUUACCGGGGUUGCGGACAGUGUCUGGUGGGUAGUUUGACUGGGGCGGUCUCCUCCCAAAGCGUAACGGAGGAGCACGAAGGUUAGCUAAUCCUGGUCGGACAUCAGGAGGUUAGUGCAAUGGCAUAAGCUAGCUUGACUGCGAGCGUGACGGCGCGAGCAGGUGCGAAAGCAGGUCAUAGUGAUCCGGUGGUUCUGAAUGGAAGGGCCAUCGCUCAACGGAUAAAAGGUACUCCGGGGAUAACAGGCUGAUACCGCCCAAGAGUUCAUAUCGACGGCGGUGUUUGGCACCUCGAUGUCGGCUCAUCACAUCCUGGGGCUGAAGUAGGUCCCAAGGGUAUGGCUGUUCGCCAUUUAAAGUGGUACGCGAGCUGGGUUUAGAACGUCGUGAGACAGUUCGGUCCCUAUCUGCCGUGGGCGCUGGAGAAUUGAGGGGGGCUGCUCCUAGUACGAGAGGACCGGAGUGGACGCAUCACUGGUGUUCGGGUUGUCAUGCCAAUGGCACUGCCCGGUAGCUAAAUGCGGAAGAGAUAAGUGCUGAAAGCAUCUAAGCACGAAACUUGCCCCGAGAUGAGUUCUCCCUGAGACUUUAAGUCUCCUGAAGGAACGUUAAAGACGAUGACGUUGAUAGGCCGGGUGUGUAAGCGCAGCGAUGCGUUGAGCUAACCGGUACUAAUGAACCGUGAGGCUUAACCUU